AGGAUGGUAGUUAAGUAUAACAUUUGGGUUGCAUUCAAAAAGUAUUGAUUAUUCAAUCUAUCUUA
This 65-nucleotide transfer RNA is filed under the name Homalosilpha sp. 1 ZQW-2020. RNAcentral describes it as "tRNA-Ala". Lineage: Eukaryota; Metazoa; Arthropoda; Insecta; Blattodea; Blattidae. The record is from RNAcentral.